GACGAACGCUGGCGGCGUGCCUAAUACAUGCAAGUCGAGCGCAGGAAGCCGUCUGAACCCUUCGGGGGGACGACGGUGGAAUGAGCGGCGGACGGGUGAGUAACACGUAAAGAACCUGCCCACGGGUCUGGGAUAACCACGAGAAAUCGGGGCUAAUACCGGACGGGUCAUCGGACCGCAUGGUCCGAGGAUGAAAGGCGCUCCGGCGUCGCCCGUGGAUGGCUUUGCGGUGCAUUAGCUAGUUGGUGGGGUAACGGCCCACCAAGGCGACGAUGCAUAGCCGACCUGAGAGGGUGAUCGGCCACACUGGGACUGAGACACGGCCCAGACUCCUACGGGAGGCAGCAGUAGGGAAUCUUCCACAAUGGACGAAGGUCUGAUGGAGCAACGCCGCGUGAACGAUGAAGGCCCUCGGGUCGUAAAGUUCUGUUGUAAGGGAAGAACAAGUGCCGCAGGCAAUGGCGGCACCUUGACGGUACCUUGCGAGAAAGCCACGGCUAACUACGUGCCAGCCGCCGCCGUAA
Molecule: ribosomal RNA, 524 nt
Filed under: uncultured bacterium
Lineage: Bacteria
Description: partial 16S ribosomal RNA
Rfam family: Bacterial small subunit ribosomal RNA
Source: RNAcentral